UACAGAGGUCUCAAGCGUUGUUCGGAUUCAUUGGGCGUAAAGGGUGCGUAGGCGGCCAACUAAGUCAGACGUGAAAUCCCUCGGCUUAACCGGGGAACUGCGUCUGAUACUGGAUGGCUGGAGUUCGGUAGGGGAGACUGGAAUUCCUGGUGUAGCGGUGAAAUGCGCAGAUAUCAGGAGGAACACCGGUGGCGAAGGCGGGUCUCUGGGCCGAUACUGACGCUGAGGAGCGAAAGCGUGGGGAGCGAACAGG
RNAcentral lists this ribosomal RNA (253 nucleotides) under uncultured bacterium. Its description in RNAcentral is "partial 16S ribosomal RNA". It matches the Rfam family "Bacterial small subunit ribosomal RNA", at positions 524 to 776 of the family's 1533-position model. The record is from RNAcentral.